This 223-nucleotide unclassified non-coding RNA is filed under the name Hevea brasiliensis (rubber tree). Lineage: Eukaryota; Viridiplantae; Streptophyta; Magnoliopsida; Malpighiales; Euphorbiaceae. The record is from RNAcentral.
GAAUGGCACUGGCUGUGGUGCUUGCUAUCAGGUUAGGUGUAAGGCACCACAACUUUGCACUGAUGACGGGGUGAAUAUAGUGGCGACUGACUAUGGUGAAGGGGACAACACUGACUUCAUUCUUAGCACAAGAGCUUAUGCAAGAAUGGCAAAUCCAAACAUGGCCUUACAAUUAUUUGCAUACGGUGUCGUCGACGUGGAAUACCGGAGGAUUUCUUGCCGG